UCAGAGAAACACUGAAAGGUUCUUGCAUUAAGGACUUCAGAGUGUGACCCUGCGAAUGCCAGAGGCCAGCUAGCAUCUUCCUCCAGAAGCACAUAUCGGGUCUUGACCACAGAGGGUGGUUAGUGUGCAGCACUGCAGUACACACAACCCAACCUGCUGCAAAAUUACUCCCCCAGAUGGAUCCCCUCCACUAAGGACAAUAUAAGUCAGACAUUAGAAGGUGGGGCACAAUGCUGCGCUUGGGAAGAUGCUUUCCUUCGAAAUAAGGCUGAGCUACAAGGAAAACUGCCUGCAGAAGAGCUUUGCUGAAUUUAAGAAUCAUGUUCUGUCUGAGUACGGAAUUA
RNAcentral lists this long non-coding RNA (344 nucleotides) under Meleagris gallopavo (turkey). Its description in RNAcentral is "lncRNA (ENSMGAG00000020654.1)". The record is from RNAcentral. Lineage: Eukaryota; Metazoa; Chordata; Aves; Galliformes; Phasianidae.